This 123-nucleotide ribosomal RNA is filed under the name Escherichia coli. The record is from RNAcentral. Lineage: Bacteria; Pseudomonadati; Pseudomonadota; Gammaproteobacteria; Enterobacterales; Enterobacteriaceae.
UCUGGCGGCAGUAGCGCGGUGGUCCCACCUGACCCCAUGCCGAACUCAGAAGUGAAACGCCGUAGCGCCGAUGGUAGUGUGGGGUCUCCCCAUGCGAGAGUAGGGAACUGGGAACUGCCAGAC